This 298-nucleotide unclassified non-coding RNA is filed under the name plant metagenome. RNAcentral describes it as "partial contains small subunit ribosomal RNA, internal transcribed spacer 1, and 5.8S ribosomal RNA". The record is from RNAcentral.
UUUCCGUAGGUGAACCUGCGGAAGGAUCAUUACCGAAAAAAAACCCUAUUACCGGAGAAAGUGUGUGUGCCGAGACUUGUUUUCAGCGCGCCCUUUCUUUGAUAAUAUACACCCCUUGUGUGAAACAACCGUUUUCUAUGUGCCGAUAUGUCCAGUAGGCAUAUAUUUAUAUAUGCCUACGGGAUCGUCGCACAUGAUCAACGCCAUUUAAAAAACAACCACCAAAACCUUCUGGACUAAAACUAGCUUCUGUUAUAUUAAAAAAAAACAACUUUUAACAACGGAUCUCUAGGCUCUC